AUUGAACGCUGGCGGCAUGCCUUACACAUGCAAGUCGAACGGCAGCACGGGAGCUUGCUCCUGGUGGCGAGUGGCGAACGGGUGAGUAAUGCAUCGGAACGUACCCGGAUGUGGGGGAUAACGUAGCGAAAGUUACGCUAAUACCGCAUAUUCUGUGAGCAGGAAAGAGGGGGAUCGCAAGACCUCUCGCUUUCGGAGCGGCCGAUGUCGGAUUAGCUAGUUGGUGGGGUAAAGGCCUACCAAGGCGACGAUCCGUAGCGGGUCUGAGGGGAUGAUCCGCCACACUGGAACUGAGACACGGUCCAGACUCCUACGGGAGGCAGCAGUGGGGAAUUUUGGACAAUGGGCGAAAGCCUGAUCCAGCCACGCCGCGUGAGUGAAGAAGGCCUUCGGGUUGUAAAGCUCUUUCGGCUGAAAAGAAAUCGCACAGGCUAAUACCCUGUGUGGAUGACGGUAUCAGCAUAAGAAGCACCGGCUAACUACGUGCCAGCCGCCGCAGUAA
RNAcentral lists this ribosomal RNA (502 nucleotides) under uncultured bacterium. RNAcentral describes it as "partial 16S ribosomal RNA". It matches the Rfam family "Bacterial small subunit ribosomal RNA", at positions 30 to 523 of the family's 1533-position model. The record is from RNAcentral.